UGGCAAUGAUCUGAACUUAGCCGCGCUUCUGAGUGCAAAGUGUGAAGCAUACUAAUGGUUGAAUUUCUGAAUAUGAGCCU
Molecule: small nucleolar RNA, 80 nt
Organism: Nymphaea colorata (pocket water lily)
Lineage: Eukaryota; Viridiplantae; Streptophyta; Magnoliopsida; Nymphaeales; Nymphaeaceae
Source: RefSeq, a predicted model, not a curated record